RNAcentral lists this long non-coding RNA (630 nucleotides) under Manihot esculenta (cassava). RNAcentral describes it as "long non-coding RNA (MESC_LNC006421)". The record is from RNAcentral. Lineage: Eukaryota; Viridiplantae; Streptophyta; Magnoliopsida; Malpighiales; Euphorbiaceae.
GUGAGUAGAGCUAUUAAAACACAUCAACACUAUGCUCUAUGAAAUGCAUCAUAGCACAAACAAUUCACAUAAGGGUUGGGCGAACUCGUCACCAAUUAGUCCAAGUUAACUCUGUGCCAGGCCUGUAGAAUGGGGUCCUGGUCUUUCCUGUCAGAACAUACAUUACUUACCAUUUUCCCAGGGCCUCCUCUGGCUCCUGGUCUUCAAGUCCCAUAACCGUGCCUUACUCUGUGCCAGGCCUGUAGACUGGGGCCUGGACUUGUUUACUCUGUGCCAGGCCUGUAGCAUGGGGCCUGGUCUUCCUGUCUUGGACUAACUGGGUCAUCCGACAUUCACCCACAACAACAACAAUUUAUGCAAUGCGGCAUAUUCGUGAAAACUAAUGCAAUCAUCCUAUUGCAUAAUCAUGAUGCAUGAAACAUGAUAAAGCAUUUAAUUUAAAAGAUUAAGUUAUAGUUCCACUCACCUCUGGCUGACUCUGACAAUACCGAAGCAGCUGAACUCACUGCUGGGGUCCUCGGUUCCUCGGGUCCGAACCUACACAGGUGGACUCAAAUGAGGGACCAAACAUACCUGAACAUAACUCUAAAAUAUUCCCCAAAAACCCCCUAAAACAUCCUGAAAAUAUCA